RNAcentral lists this ribosomal RNA (492 nucleotides) under uncultured bacterium. Its description in RNAcentral is "partial 16S ribosomal RNA". It matches the Rfam family "Bacterial small subunit ribosomal RNA", at positions 29 to 507 of the family's 1533-position model. The record is from RNAcentral.
AGUGAACGCUGGCGGUAGGCCUAACACAUGCAAGUCGAACGGCAGCACAGUAAGAGCUUGCUCUUACGGGUGGCGAGUGGCGGACGGGUGAGGAAUACAUCGGAAUCUACUUUUUCGUGGGGGAUAACGUAGGGAAACUUACGCUAAUACCGCAUACGACCUACGGGUGAAAGCAGGGGAUCUUCGGACCUUGCGCGAUUGAAUGAGCCGAUGUCGGAUUAGCUAGUUGGCGGGGUAAAGGCCCACCAAGGCGACGAUCCGUAGCUGGUCUGAGAGGAUGCUCAGCCACACUGGAACUGAGACACGGUCCAGACUCCUACGGGAGGCAGCAGUGGGGAAUAUUGGACAAUGGGCGCAGGCCUGAUCCAGCCAUACCGCGUGGGUGAAGAAGGCCUUCGGGUUGUAAAGCCCUUUUGUUGGGAAAGAAAAGCAGCAGGUUAAUACCCCGCUGUUCUGACGGUACCCAAAGAAUAAGCACCGGCUAACUUCGUG